CACUGGAUGGGUUCAACCUGAGAAAGCUGAUGAUACAAUGUAUAGGCAGGUUGAUAUACCCAAUACAAGACUUGCUAUAUGCUCCCUCUGAGCUAAUUUCAAAUCUGGGGCCCACAGGCUGAGUCUUAAGCUAGCAAUGCAUCUAAUGUAUGUGCAAACAUAAAAGGAAUAUUUCCCUGCCUUUCUUCUCAACUUACAGAAAUAUUGUAAUUAGUUAUUUCAGGUGGGAGAAGAAGGGGAAGAAAUUUGAAGCAGGGGAAAUGUGUGACUGUUGACUUUGCAGUAGCUCUGUCAAAAAAAUGUAUUCUGCUUUUAAUACAUACCAUUUGGAAAGCAAAUCCCCUUUUAAAAUGCUUCGGAACUCAUGUCCUUUUUAAUUGCCUGGAAUUCAUGGUGGCUGUGUGAGAAAGCCAUAAACAUAUACAAUCAUAAAAACACAUUUAGACAACCCAAACAGAAUCAGUGCCAUAUUAUUUUAGUUUAUUAUUCCUAGUGGAGUACAGAUUGGUCUUCCUACUUUGAUAUUUAUUUAUACCAAGGAACUACAAGAACAUAAAUGCCACUCUUGGGAUAAUCCUAAUGCUGGGGCCAAACAGAAUACACAUUGCAUCUGUCUCAUUUGCAGUAAAAUGAAGGAAUGGUUAGGUGUAAUCCUGCUAAUGAAGGACAAAGUUGAAGGUCAAAUGUCGUCUUCAGAACGAAUGUGUCACUGUGAAGCUGAGAGAACUGUAGUUCUGCGUUAAAAAGUUUUCCUAAAAUAUCAAAUAACUAAGAUUGGGAAAAGGAGAAUGUACCUCUUUGGUUGUAUUAUUCCAUUUUCUUUGAAGCCACUCAAGGAUUCUGUUCAAGACUUUAGUGCUCAUAUGAAAAAUUAAUGAUGGGUUUUUGCUAGACAGAAAGCCUUCUUAUUUUGCACAAGAUUAACAAAGAAAACUCAAUGCAGAAGUGAGAUACUCAGCAGGGGGUGGUUCUCUCAGAGGCCAGUUCACAGCUUCACACCAGAACAUUUAUUGACAUGGGAAAAUACCCACUUUUAUCCAAAGACAGUUAAACAGAUAGGAUAUGUGCAGGGCUGUACAUACUGAAUAACAAGGAACAGAUUCUCAACAAAGGAAAAUGUCAACCAAAAUAAACAAACAGCCUAGCAGCAGGCUGACCCUGUGCUGUGCCUGUGGGCUGUUUUGAGUCUACUGCAGAGCCAAGUGCAAUGUUAGUCUUUUGCUAGUUAUUGUCAGGAAGUAGAUUAUCCGCUGAAAGGCUGGAGGGUGACUUCAGACAGUCUGCCUGUAGCAGAAGAAAAGCCAAGGACAUGUAGGCAGUAUAUAAUAUAUACAAGCCAGAUCUGCACUCUGCUUACAUGCUAUUUUGAUUUGAUGUUCCUCACCAACACAGAUCUCAUUUUGGGGGGGUCUGGGUACUUUUCCCACAUGUAAAAUCACAGAGUAAGCUCAUAUGAGCUUGUCCAACUGAAAGCAUCCUGGUUUAACCCUGUCAUUCCUGUGUACACCCCUCAAAUUUUAAACUUUCUUGGUUUGGUCUAGUCAGCCAACUCUGCAUUUUCUGGGAUUCAGAAGGGCCAUCUGCUACCCACACAUUCAAGAAGAAAGCCAUCCAUAAAAGGUACACAUUUUACAAGUUAUAAUGGAAGUAUAGUGAGUUUUUCUUAUUUUAAGCUUAAGAAAAGACAAACGUCUAUUACUAGUGAAUAUUUAUGAUUUGUUCCCAGGUACAGGAGGCUUUUAUAAAUAUCUGUUAAAUACAACAGUGCACUACAAAGAGCUGAGUGGGGUUAUAAAUCUCAGGUCACACUCAGGGUUUCAGGUGUCAAACAAGAAUGAAGCAGAUCACCCUGGAUGAACUGGACCAGAAAGCUUUCUUUCCUUUUCUUAUUAUGCUAGUAAAUGGAGAACUAUCCCUCCCAAAAUACUGCCAUUAUGAACUACAAGCUCUGUUUGUCUUGCCUCUUGCUUUUAAGGUAAGGAAAUCUGGGGAACAUUGAAGUUGUUGAGAACUGGUCUUUUGCAGGAGGAUGCAAGGUAGGGUUUAUAAGUUAUCAUUUCUAAAUGAUAGGAAGUCAGUUAUGCUAGAUAUAAAAAGACAUGAAGCCACAAAUAGAGCGCCUGAUAACAGCACUUAUGAGCUUUUCUAAAAGGCUUCAUAUUUUGUCCGAUUUGGUUAUAGUUUGUUUGCUUGAGCAAUUCUUUUGAAGUUAUCUACAGUGGUGGUACUGAAAUGCAGUGACUAGUGUACAAUUAUAGAACCAGGUUGGCAGAAUGAUUGAACUGGCUAACUGCCAUUUUCACAGCAAUUAUUUUUUUUUUCUUGUGGAUUUUUAGAUCAGAUCCCUGCAGGAACAGAUUGAGUGAAAUUUUUAUAUUGUUAUUAUGAACGUUUUGAUAUUGCAGUAAUGAUUUUUUGAUAUUUGAUAAUAAAGCCUUGAGAUGAUAGCAGUGGAAACCUCAGAGUAGCUUUCAUAACCUGUUCAUUUUGUGGUUUUUUUUCAUGGUGAAUUUUUUUUCUUUGCUACCAUCGGUUGUUUGGUUUUUUAAUUAUUUUUGUAGGGAUUUCUCUCACUGCUUUUGCCUACCACACAGUACUGCUACAUAGGAAGCAUAUACAAAAAAUGUGCUUACUUUAUCCUGUCAAGUACUACUAACCAAAUACAAAGCAGCACAGCCCAAGUUUGGUCCUGCAUCACUGAAUUCAGUGAGAGCUUUGCUUUGGCUACAUUAAAGAAAGGAUCAGGCCCUAUCUGAGAACAGAUGAAUGUUUUGAUACAGUGAGAUUCUACUCCAAAAUUUAGACAGACAGUAGGUUUUAGGAGUGAAUAUAAUUUAUAUUCCUAAAUUAUAAUCUCUCUAGAACAGGAAUGGUAUUGCCAUGUGUAAUCUGCAAAACAUCCUAUUUUGGCAGGAAGGGCAGAAUUUGAUGACAGAAUUGUAACUACAGCUGUGAAGCGCAGAACUAGAGAGCUGCCUGCAAGGGAGAGGUGUCCUGUACUCGUGGGAGCAGCAGGGUCUCACUGUUGCACCCUCGCCUGCCAAGAAGCCAUUUCUGCCCUGGGUUCUCCAAACUUAGCCUCGUGCCGAUGAGUGGCUGGUCUUGGUUUGCCCAUUGGCUGCUGCCCUGCAGACGGCACCAGCUGUGUUUUCCUCACCUUUGCUCGGCCAGAGCUCUCAUUUGUGUUUCCUUCUGCUCUCCAACCAAAAGUGUCCAUGAAGUCUUACAGGCACGUAUUUAUUCUUGAGACUUACAAUGCUUUUUUAUUCUGGCUGAGAUUGACUGACAGGCUUGAAAGUUCCUGUAAGGCAAUAUGAGAGAAAAACAAGGACAGACAGACAGAUAGCAAUGGCACGACCCUCAUUUCCUUAGGAAACCAAGCUAAAAAUGGAAAUGUAACCUCAGACCCUUUGCUGAGGGCUUCUCCUUUGAAAGCCAGGAUAAGAACAGAUAUAUCCCAGAUCAGAAAAGACAUGUGGAGAUUACUGUAUUCUUGUGACUAUAUUAAAGGAGUCAAGAAAAGAAACUAAUUGUGAAUAGCUUUUAUGUCCUCUUAAAUCACCAUAAUUAUUAAUAAUAAAUGUAUUGUAUUUACUUUUCAAGCGAAAAAAUGGUCCCAUGGUACAGUUAAAACCAGAGAGGGGUACCUGGGGGACAGAAUGCAGAUGUGCAUGCAGAGGUGCUCCCCCACCCCUGCUCUCCUCUCGAGGGACACACUGAGGAGUGGGCUGCUGUCAUGUACUGCACUGGGCUGCAACCACACAGGCAGGUAAAAACAACUGAGAAAGGAGGCUGGCAUCAGCGUUGCUUCGCGAGCUCUUAGAAGAAUAAACAACCUUGUGCAGACACAGAAGAAAGGCAGAGAAAUAUUAGAUGACUUACCCACAGUCUGCAGCAGGUGCUCCUGGAAAGUGAGGAAGAGACCUCCGCUGCCUGUGCCUAUUGCCAGUGUGACUCUGGAGUUUCCCAGCUCUGAAAGAAAUAAAUGCAGCAAGAAUUGUCCCAGUAGAAGUUCAAAGAUCUUAGUCCCUGGUUCAACGCCUAGAAAAGCUGGCCAGAGAUGCAAUACAGUGCAUGGACUUCAUUGCGUGUGACCACUCCCUGCUGUGUGCAGACAAGAAGUAAGUCCUUAGGAAAUAUUCCAUGUGCUGGUUGUACCCCUGCAGCCUUGUUUCCUACCUAGGGGUAGCUGUGAUUCUGCAGUACUGUCUCAGCCACCUCACCCUCCUAACAGUCGUGGUUUUGACUCAUCACUUUGAUAGCAAUUUGGGAAGGGUUGCUGGGUGGUAUGAUUGGCACUAAUCCCAGAGGAGGAAUAGCAGAACAGUAAGCAAUGAACAUGGAGACUUGGAUGUGGGUUUACUGCUGCUGAAAAGAAAAGGACAAACAAAAGGGAGAAAGUAUGUAGUGGAUAGGAGAAAAAUAUAAGGAAGGGAUACAAGAAGGACACCUGGUUUAUGGGCUGUUACUGAUGUAUUUUCUAACUCCAUGAGUGCUGCAAGCGCUGGGAAUACAGGAAAACAAGACAGACCAACAAAAAAGAUCGGUGUGAGAGACUGCAAAGUGGCUGAGAAGCUGCCCUUGCUUGCAAGUCAUCACAAUUACUAUCAUCUUUCAAGAACACAUUGCAUUUUUCACAAAAAUAUUGUCAAAUCCAUGGCUUUUGUAUAUCUGUCUUGAUAUGGCUCCUCAGGAGAUUUGAAUUUUCUGGUACCUAAAAGUUUGUGGCUACUUGUCUCCUUCCUGGCUAGCUUCCCUCAUUCCUAUACCCAUAACUUUGUACCUAAUACAGAAGUGCUGAAGUGCUGCUACUUUUCUUUGAGAAGAGCAGCCACUAGAGGGAAGGAUGCAUGCGGAGAAGUUUUCCUCAGCACCUCUCGUGCUUCCUCCAUAAGUAAAAAAAAUUCAUAAUUUUACCCAGCAAUUGUAAGGUGGCCUGGUUUAUCCUUUCACAUAAAAUAUAUUGAAUGAGAUUAUUUUUAGUAUUGCAGUUUCACCAUACAUCCUGAAACACAGCCAAAGUUACGGGCCAGAAAAAAAAAAAAAAAAAAAAUCGUUGGCUACAUUACAGACAAGAUUGGAUUACCUGUUCAAACAGAGCUCUUAAUUCUGCGCAUAAAUAGAAUCCACAAAUACAAGAGAACUUCGGUAGAAAAUAAAGCCAGCCAACAGCCCCUAAUAACCCCUAAUUAUUAGGAGUUUCAGUUAACAUUUGGACAGCUUUGGUCUUAAUUCUUUUAAGUCUGAAGAGGCAGCAUGACCAAGGUGGCCACAUUUACAAUUACAGUGAGCACACACGCUGUUCCAACCCAUGCUGGCUUUAGCUGAGUGUUCUCUGGCAGCUUGGGUUGGGAUUUUGCCCUGUUAAAAUAUAAUUACUUAUCUGAAUGGCGACUAAUUUCCAGUCUGAAUUAUUUAUUUGUAACAAUGCACUUGUUUUGACAGAAGUCUAUGACAAGAAAAACAAAUCAAGCUCCUGACCUUGGCAUCAUUGCUUACUUAGGAAUUUUUUGUACCUGAAAGAAAACAUGCUAAUAUACCAUCCAAGUAAUGAAUUAACUUGCAUGUUAUCAGUAAAUACAGCAACAGAAAUCUAGCUGUAAAGAAGACACCUCUUAAGGUAAGACUGAAAUCCAAUGUCACUUUUAAAAAAAAAAGAGAAAAGAAAAGCUUGACUGCGCUAUACUACAUAUGGACAAUUACGGUUGUAUAAGUGAGAAUGUUUAAUAGUUGUCUCAAGGAUGGUGUUUUCAAAUACCUUUAGCAGUGAGCUAAUAUUCUUUCCCAGUUUUAAAGUUGCCUUAUGUAAUAUAUAUAUAUAUAUAUAUAUGAGAUCAGAAGUCAAAUACUGUAUUGCAGGCAGUCAAAAAAAGCAGUAGAUGACAUUUUCCAGAUUAUCUUAGUAAACUGUGUUGUUCUUCAAAAUAUACAAAACACAUCUGUGCAGCCCAAUGAUCCUUCAAGGCAGACAAUUUUAUAUUCAGGUACUGCUGCAAUCCAGGCUUUGGUUAAGAUUGCGUAACAGUUUCCCCUUUGACCUUCUGUUUGCAACUACCCGUAUCCAUCAAAAAUUCCUACUUCUGAGACUGAGGUUUGCCAUGGUUGUGAACUGCAAAAGGUGAAUUUUUAUUUCAACAUUUUGUCACAAUAUUUUUGAACAUUUCAAAACACAUGAAGGUACAGGGAAAACACUAAUCUUAUUUUGUUUGAUAUUCUCUGGCCAGAGUGAGAUCUGAAAGUAAAAAUCAGAACUAUUUUUCUGUAGGAAGGAGUGUGUGAUUAAUUUUGGGAAGCAAUCUGGUUUCAUUUGAUCAAAUAAAAUUACAGAACGUUUGGAUAUGAACAUAUGCGAACGAUCACCUGGCAGUUAUUCUCAGGUACACACCUUGGAAAGCACAGGCACUCUUUAGGUGUCCAUGCUACUGAUGGGUUUUACUCUCAGCGAUGCCAUCUUUCUCCUGCAACCACAAAUGAUCACAAGAGAAUUCCCUUGGCCUGGUGGUGUUCUCCCCAGCACCUGAACCAGCCUGUCUGUGCCAUUUUCUGUCCUCUCUCUGCUGUGUACGACCUGCACUGGCAGGCAAGUCUUUGUGGCCUUUCUUAUUCUACAGGGUGUGGCACAUUACAGAUAAUUUCUGCUGGAUGGCACCUUAACAAUUCAUCUGCUCCUGCUGUGCACUCUCUCACUGAACUCGGUCUGCUCUUUGAGAUGCCUUAAUUGCUUGCUGUGGAAGCUGAAGGUGACACCAUAAGCAAAUCACCAUAAAUACAUGCAAACGUCUCUUACAACAGCAAAUCAGAUGGUUGUAGGUAGUGCACAGUAUGGAUCAGCAAGAGCUGUUUUGCUCUAAAUCUCAUUUUCACCCAUCUUCUGACUUUGUACAGAAUCUCAGCAAAUGCUUGGAAAGACAACUAUCUUAAGUUUAUAUGGGCAUAUAUAAACCCCUGAAUUGCUUUUUGCUGUUUAUACUUCAUAAACUAAUAUAGCAGUGAACAAACUGCAUUUUCAGAGCUGUGAGCAAACUGCAUUUCAUAUAAGUUAUCCAGUUAUGGGCCAGACCUUGCAUUUCUUACUCAAGAAGGAUUAAAUCAAAAGGCAAGUAGUCUGUGAAAAGAUGGUUUUAUACACAGCUAGCUAAACUCUUGAUAAAUUAUUCUCUCCAAGGAAAAAUAAAGGUUUCUAGUAGAUUUCUCUGUACUUGUUUUCAGAGAAGCUUAUGCUUGCCCCCCUUAGAGGCUUUCUUCAUAAGUGAAGCUAACAUUAAAUGUCUAGUGAGAUUGAGUUUCUAAGGAUGAUUUUCCUAAAACAGGAUUAAGGCUCACUGACAGUGUAAUGCAGGGCAGGUAAUGUUGCUGCUGCUCAUGAUUUAAACUGCUUUGUGGCUAAACGAUGUUUGGGUUUCUACAGAUAAUGGUUCAGUACCUCUGGGCUCUAAACUUGCUUCUGUAAGAGGUAAAAACCCAGGUAAUUUUGGUCUUUCCAUAUUUUUUUUUCUGGAACAAAGUAAGCAACCCUCUUAUGACUUGAGCAGGAUAGUAACCAGUCCUGAAGUGGUUCUUCAGAGACUUAUGAGGAUCAUUCCAUUAAUUUUUUUUCCCCUCGAGAUUAUUUCUAAAUUGUUUGUUUGUUUUUCUUUAACCAUGGGUGAAACAUUAGGAGAGUUCUACAAACUGAUAGUCUGUGGUCAAUCUGUCAACAUCAAGGUCAUGGCUAGUUACUGUGCAAUGGACAGUUCACACAUUUUCUCCACAUCCACAAAAGUAUUUCUUAAAAGCAAACAUCACACAAACAAAGAGCUCUGCUUGACAAAUACGUUAGUUUCAGUCUAAUAUCUACAACAUCUAUUACAGUUUGUUAAUACCUUGACACUGCUCUGAAUAACAAUUGCCCUAUUGUAUCUCGAUGACAUUGAUUAACAAGGCAGUUUGUAAUUAGAUGGGGUAAUGUAAUUCCUGGCCCUCUGUAAACAUCUGGAUUUGCAAAUCCGCACUCCUAGCUUGGGAGCUCUUUGCCACACAUCACUAAUUACGCCAUGUUCUUAUAUAUCAGUAUCUACAUCCUCCUGCUGAGCAUCUCUUCUUUGUUCACAGUACGAGUCAGAGCCUGUUGUCAAUACAGAGAAAAUCAACAUAACUGCCUAGCGCCGCAUGUGACAUUUAAUGAAAAUGAAGUAAUGUCUAAUUUGCAUGGCUGGUGUUACUUUAUUAAAGCCAGAACUGCAGAAGCUGGGUGCUACAGUGCUAGUCAAGUGUGCAAGACUGAUAAUCUGUGGCAACGAUGGUGUCUGGCACAGGAAACUUUGCAUCCCCCUCUUGCCUGCCUGCCCACCUCCUAUGUGAGGAAUAGGGCUUCUGCUAAAAGUGACAGAUUUGUUCAUUUUUCCAGGCCCGUCUGUUCUUGUUCUUUCUGUUAACUCCAUCCGUCAGAGCGCGCAAAGCAGUCAAGGUGGCUGGGGGAGGAAGGCCCACCCUGCUUCCUCCCAGGAGGGUUCACCACAAAACAUCAAGGGCAACUUCCAGCUCAGGAGGGAAACGCCUUCUGGAUUCACAUCAGCAAGCUACAAAUAAAAAGCUCUAUAGCACAAGAAAAUAGACUUCUGUCAUGCACAAGAAGCAUCUUAGAAGAGAAAUAUAUGAAUAUUUUGUACAUAAAAAAGAGCCAUGUAUGUCGGAAGAACACACAGUCAAGCACUCAAAAGAUUUAAAAGGGCGGAGUUGUGCUCCAUCAUGUUCCAUUUCCCCAUGCCUCAGUACUGACAAGGAUGCAAAAUGCUCAUGUUUGCUGAUUUUUAUUUCCUUUAGCCUUAUUAGUACUGCUUAGAAAUAUUUAGAAAUAUUAAUUUUAUUUUUAAAGAAUUCUGAUUCUGACUUCGGACUCAGUUAAGAAGGUCAGCAGUAAUAAUACAUUAUAAAUCAUAAGCUUAUGUCUUGAAGUAGAACAUAACACAUCUUCUAACAGGUUGUGGCUCCACCCACUCAGUUUUAUCUCAUUUUCGACUUCUCAGGAGAGUUUUUGUUUCCUUUUUAUUAUGUCUCCAACUCCUUUCUGACUACAUUCCUUCCCCUAUAAUCAUUUUGCCUCUACAUUGGUUUCCAGACUGUUUCACUGCUGAAUGUCUAAAAUGAAGUGUGGGGUAUUUUGAUCCUCUCUGAAGUAUGAUGCCAUUGGUUAUAGCUACACCCCGUCCCCUCCACGCCAGCCAGUACCAAACCGCGGGCAAACUCUGAUACUUCACAGACUUCUGUCUGAGCAACUUUACAGACACACAUUUAAUGUAGCAGGGCAGUAAUAUGAAUAAAGUUUUAUUUGUAGCAGUUUUCAGAGAGAGAUCAAUUUGCCAGGUAAAAUCUUAUGAACCACACAAUCGGAACAACACAGUAAAAUAAAUUAAAGCCUUUACCAAAAUUCAUAAUGAUUUGCACUGGAGCCCAAUUUUGGAUGAUACUCAGUUUCCCAGAGAGGAUGCUACAAACUCCAUGUAAGUUUUUAUCUCUGAAUAUAAGUUUAAUUUUGCAAA
This is a long non-coding RNA of Aquila chrysaetos chrysaetos, 9518 nucleotides long. RefSeq lists it as uncharacterized. The transcript is spliced from 6 exons. Lineage: Eukaryota; Metazoa; Chordata; Aves; Accipitriformes; Accipitridae. The record is from RefSeq and is a predicted model, not a curated record.